Molecule: ribosomal RNA, 423 nt
Filed under: uncultured cyanobacterium
Lineage: Bacteria; Bacillati; Cyanobacteriota
Description: bacterial SSU rRNA
Rfam family: Bacterial small subunit ribosomal RNA
Source: RNAcentral
GGGGAAUUUUCCGCAAUGGGCGAAAGCCUGACGGAGCAAGACCGCGUGGGGGAUGAAGGUUUGUGGAUUGUAAACCCCUUUUGAUUGGGAAGAAUACUGACGGUACCAAUCGAAUAAGCCUCGGCUAACUCCGUGCCAGCAGCCGCGGUAAUACGGAGGAGGCAAGCGUUAUCCGGAAUUAUUGGGCGUAAAGCGUCCGUAGGUGGUUUAGUAAGUCUGCUGUUAAAGCGCGGGGCUUAACUCCGUAUCGGCAGUGGAAACUACUAGACUAGAGUGUGGUAGGGGUAGAGGGAAUUCCCAGUGUAGCGGUGAAAUGCGUAGAUAUUGGGAAGAACACCGGUGGCGAAAGCGCUCUACUGGGCCAUAACUGACACUGAUGGACAAAAGCUAGGGGAGCGAAAGGGAUUANAUACCCCUGUAGUC